UCGUCUGUGUGAGGGUCGGCUAGUGUCAAAACAAUCGCGUCGCUUGCUCUUGCGACGCGCUCUGGACCUUCGCGGCCGUAAAAUCCGGCGCUCACCGAAUCGCUCGCUCGGCGGUUUGCGUGUUGCGCCCGGUGGCCCCGUGGUCUUAAGCACAAGCCGCGCCGUUGUCCGUGUUCGUCUCGGGACGUCCGCGACGCCGCCUUGCUCUCGGCGGCGGCCAAAUUUCCUCUCCGUCACCGCUAUGCGGGACCCGGCUCGCUCUCGCUAACGGGCCCGCUUAUAACCAGCUUCAGGGUGACGGGCGGAGGAGAGAAGCUUACGCUGACGCUCGAUCGACGAGUCGGCGCCCGUACGAAAAAAAUUGGAAAAAAAAUAACCGUGCGUUGCGCGUUAUUUUUUUUUUUCCUUUCUUUCCGACCUCAGAUCGGACGAGAUUACCCCCUGAAUUUAAGCAUAGAAA
RNAcentral lists this unclassified non-coding RNA (460 nucleotides) under Ampullaceana balthica. Its description in RNAcentral is "sequence contains ITS1, 5.8S rRNA gene, ITS2". The record is from RNAcentral. Lineage: Eukaryota; Metazoa; Mollusca; Gastropoda; Lymnaeidae.